This 237-nucleotide ribosomal RNA is filed under the name Streptomyces griseoflavus. Its description in RNAcentral is "partial 16S ribosomal RNA". It matches the Rfam family "Bacterial small subunit ribosomal RNA", at positions 158 to 395 of the family's 1533-position model. Lineage: Bacteria; Bacillati; Actinomycetota; Actinomycetes; Kitasatosporales; Streptomycetaceae. The record is from RNAcentral.
GGGGUCUAAUACCGGAUACUGACCCGCCUGGGCAUCCAGGCGGUUCGAAAGCUCCGGCGGUGCAGGAUGAGCCCGCGGCCUAUCAGCUUGUUGGUGAGGUAAUGGCUCACCAAGGCGACGACGGGUAGCCGGCCUGAGAGGGCGACCGGCCACACUGGGACUGAGACACGGCCCAGACUCCUACGGGAGGCAGCAGUGGGGAAUAUUGCACAAUGGGCGAAAGCCUGAUGCAGCGAC